UCGCAUUUCUUCCCUUUCUUUUCAUUCCGACACAGCUCAUCCCAAGAAUCGCUCCAGAACCUCCUCUCAUAAUUUACUUCGGAAACGCAAAACUUUCUUGGCGAUGUCUCUUUUAAUAACAUUCUGUUUCAUACUCUUCACUUUUUCCGUAGUUCGGAAUCAGGAAAUGCUUUCUACUUCUUCGCUGAAUGGAAACUGGCCAUCUGCAGACGAAAUGCAGGCAUUAGUUAUCUAGGAACUCAAGAAAGCUUUUAAAAUUCUAAGUAACACAAAAGUAUUGUUGCUUCGCCAAAUGUGAUAAUUUUCCCCAUGUGCAACAUGAUUACGAGCAAAUUUGUUUUAGAAAAUCCUGCAUACCUUUCUCUUAAGCUUUGUCAUAAUUUAAUAAAACCAGUGAAUCAAAUAACGUUG
Molecule: long non-coding RNA, 411 nt
Organism: Stegodyphus dumicola
Lineage: Eukaryota; Metazoa; Arthropoda; Arachnida; Araneae; Eresidae
Gene: spab
Source: RefSeq, a predicted model, not a curated record